GGAGCAGCCCAGAGCCUGAAUCAGUGUGUGUGUUAGUGGAAGCGUCUGGAAAGGCGUGCGAUACAGGGUGACAGCCCCGUACACAAAAAUGCACAUACUGUGAGCUCGAUGAGUAGGGCGGGACACGUGGUAUCCUGUCUGAAUAUGGGGGGACCAUCCUCCAAGGCUAAAUACUCCUGACUGACCGAUAGUGAACCAGUACCGUGAGGGAAAGGCGAAAAGAACCCCGGCGAGGGGAGUGAAAAAGAACCUGAAACCGUGUACGUACAAGCAGUGGGAGCACGCUUAGGCGUGUGACUGCGUACCUUUUGUAUAAUGGGUCAGCGACUUAUAUUCUGUAGCAAGGUUAACCGAAUAGGGGAGCCGAAGGGAAACCGAGUCUUAACUGGGCGUUAAGUUGCAGGGUAUAGACCCGAAACCCGGUGAUCUAGCCAUGGGCAGGUUGAAGGUUGGGUAACACUAACUGGAGGACCGAACCGACUAAUGUUGAAAAAUUAGCGGAUGACUUGUGGCUGGGGGUGAAAGGCCAAUCAAACCGGGAGAUAGCUGGUUCUCCCCGAAAGCUAUUUAGGUAGCGCCUCGUGAAUUCAUCUCCGGGGGUAGAGCACUGUUUCGGCAAGGGGGUCAUCCCGACUUACCAACCCGAUGCAAACUGCGAAUACCGGAGAAUGUUAUCACGGGAGACACACGGCGGGUGCUAACGUCCGUCGUGAAGAGGGAAACAACCCAGACCGCCAGCUAAGGUCCCAAAGUCAUGGUUAAGUGGGAAACGAUGUGGGAAGGCCCAGACAGCCAGGAUGUUGGCUUAGAAGCAGCCAUCAUUUAAAGAAAGCGUAAUAGCUCACUGGUCGAGUCGGCCUGCGCGGAAGAUGUAACGGGGCUAAACCAUGCACCGAAGCUGCGGCAGCGACGCUUAUGCGUUGUUGGGUAGGGGAGCGUUCUGUAAGCCUGUGAAGGUGUGCUGUGAGGUAUGCUGGAGGUAUCAGAAGUGCGAAUGCUGACAUAAGUAACGAUAAAGCGGGUGAAAAGCCCGCUCGCC
RNAcentral lists this ribosomal RNA (1039 nucleotides) under Shigella flexneri. Its description in RNAcentral is "partial 23S ribosomal RNA". It matches the Rfam family "Bacterial large subunit ribosomal RNA", at positions 294 to 1338 of the family's 2925-position model. The record is from RNAcentral. Lineage: Bacteria; Pseudomonadati; Pseudomonadota; Gammaproteobacteria; Enterobacterales; Enterobacteriaceae.